ACAAUGUGUGAUACUUCUAUUCAACAUUAUAUUGAAUUUCUUUCUUUGGAAGCAAUGAAAAAAUUAUUCUUGCAAAAGAGUCUUAUAACUUAAUCUGGACAUAUACACAUUACCCAAGUGUUAAAGCUAUACCUGAUAAAUAAGUUUGAUAACUAGAAAAAUGAAACAAACUAUUUUCUGCGCUGUACACGUCUGCAUUCCUACAUGAUGCUCUCUCCGAAGAUGAUAAGAGUACAGAAGAUGGUCAGGAUGCUUGAAAACUGGUGGCCAGUAAGUCUGUUCUCCUAAUAAAUUAAAUCACUGAAAAUGUGAUUGAGCAUAAAACACAGAGUUGUGGAUGCUGGAGUUGUAUUUAUAUUUGGAGAGAUUUCAGUGCACAUUUUUCUUUUAAAUAGGACUCAGAGAUGAGUGUGAAAACAGGAUGUUCCGGUGAUUUUUGUCUCUCUGCCACACCCCACUGCCCCUUGUUUUGCGCUGAGGCUGGCAGCCUGGAACACAUGCUAGAGAGAUGCCUGGGUGCUGAGGACUGCUGCUGAGCUUUUCCUAUUCACUCACCACAAGCCAGACUGAGGAAUUUCCUUCAAUGGGAGGGGCAGAACUGCCUCAGAGGCCCUGAUGGCCCAGCUGAUUAUAGAGAUACUGUCUGGAUUGCCAGGAGCUUCAGAACACCUCAGAUUGCAGAUUGCCUGGCCAUCAAGGCAUUUUAUCGGCGCCGCCUGAGGAAGGGACCCUUGGAAAUCCUGUGACAAUGCUGCCACAUUGCCCCACACUGGCAUUAUCAUCAGCUGAAACAAUCUCUUCGUUGUGUGGUGGUCAUCUGUCCUCUCUGAUCAGGAUGUGAGCGCCGUGAGAUCAGGGACCUCAUCUGUCUCGCUUAGCACUACAUACUCCACGCUCAGAGCUACGCCAGACGCCCAACAGACAGCGGAUGUGUCCGACAAGUGUUUAUUGAUCAUGACUGAGUGAAUGAAGGGAUAAAUGCUCUAUUUUAACAGGACUUUCAUGAAGCUAAAAGCCAUAUCUUCUAAGAAGGAGUUAGCCCCUCCAUUUUACCAAACUUAUUUUUCCCUCAUUUCAUUUCUCAGAAAGAGUCUUGUAUUUCAUUAAGCAAAAAUAGGGCAUCAAGAGAUAUGUGACCCUAUUUCAAAUGCUGGUAGGUGUUUCAAAUAUCGAUUGCUUGUAAGAAAUAGCCUGAGAACAUAAUGGCUUAACACCACCAGAUAUAUUUCUUGAUUCUCCCAUUUCUGCAAUCUGGCUGGACAGUUCUUUUGCCCCCCAUGGUGUCUACUGGAGCUGAAAUGUCUAAGAUUGUUUCUUCACUCACUGAUACCCAGAAUGUCAGCUGUGAUCUCUGGAGCAACACAGAGCUGGCCAGACAUGUCUCUCUUUUUCCACUUGGCUUAGGCUUCCUCACAGUGAAGUCGUCCCAAGGUAGCUGAGUUCUUACGCUGCAGCGCUUUUCUAAGAAAGAAGCAGCAGAAGCUGCUGCUCUUCCUGAAUGCUUGACUUGGAUCCGCAGAGUCCUCUUCUCAGCAUCCUGCCGGUCUAAGGGGAGGAAGGAAGCAUCCUGGGGCCAACGGGGAGGAAGGGAGGAGGAAUAGGCUCAAUCUCUUGGUGUGAGGAGUGAUGUGCAUCACUAGUGGCUGUCUGCAGAGGCUCUGUGUCCCCAUAGGGAGGUGGUUCUAGAGUGGCCUGCCUGCCUGCCUGUGUACCAGUACGUGCCAGGCAGGGACAAGCAGCAGAGUGCUGGGUGAGGCGGGAAGACAGUGCGCCCUCCUUGCUCCUAGCUUGGUGCUGCUGACAUGUUGAUAUCACUUCAACACUUCGAUGUGGCAGCAGCUCCAGCCAAGUCACUACUGCCAGUUGCUCAUCUGUCAUUAUGCCCAUCUGUCCUCAAAUAUGACUGAUGACCUUUAUAAAGGUUCUUCAGCUUUAUUGAACACCUGUCUUCUGCAAAACCACAUGAGAUUCGUAAAAACCUCCUCAUUAAUAAUCACCGCAUCCCCGUUGGGAGUUUGAAGGAGAUAGGUAUAUUCUCAUUUUAGAAAUGAAGAACAUGCAACAAAUGAAACGCUAGGGAGCUUCACCAAGAUCACAAAGCUGGGCAGCGAAUGAAGGGAAGAGGCAAUGUGUGUGUAUGAGAGAGAGAGAAUGAGAGACAUGCACACAGACAAAGAAGGGGAAAGACAGGGAAAAAGGGAAGAAGAAUCAUCAAAAUUUUUUUCUUUUUUCUUCCAAUGCUAUAUGACAACAAUUUAUAUGUCUUAACAUGCUAAACACUUUCCAGAAGCAAUAAACUUCUGGUAAAAACAGACUAUGACUUGUCCCCACAAAAUCAUUGUGUUGAAAUUUAAACUAUAUUAGAUUCAAAUGUGCUUUACGCCCUCCUAGCUGUACAUCCUUGGACAAGAUACUAGCCCUCAGGUGUGGGUGAGUAUGUUUCGAAGUUCCGUUGGGCAGAUUAAAGGAAGAGACACAGAGCGUGCCAUGUGUGGCAAGCGGUAUAAUAGGCACCCAGUAAAUAAGAAUGGCUGUUGUAAGACUCUUGAUAGUAGGAUGAUUGAUAUGUUAAUUGAAAUGAAGAGGAUUUUUUAAAGGCCUUCUCUCUUUGUUAUUCCUACACCUACUGAUUUUUAAAAACAGCAGGAUUGAUUUAUAGUUAAUGAGUUUGAAUGCUCUCAAAUGCAGCUAAGUCAGCACAUUUAGAUCUUAGUCUGUGUGACCUUGCGCCAGUUAAUGUUUCUGGGUGUUAGAAUGCUCAUCUGUAAUUUAACAGAGAUGGACCACACGGUCUCUAAAGUUUUCUAAGUCAGCACAUUUAGAUCUUAGUCUGUGUGACCUUGCGCCAGUUAAUGUUUCUGGGUGUUAGAAUUCUCAUCUGUAAUUUAACAGAGAUGGACCACACGGUCUCUAAAGUUUCCUACAUUUUCCGACAUCUACAGUUCUGUAGAAAUAAUGAACACAUUUCAAUUCUUUAUUCAAGCUAUCAUUUAUGACCAUGUUGCCCUCUAGUGGCAAGAAUUAAGGAAAAAUGAUCCUGAGAAAGUUUCAUGUCCACAGCAUUUUGGUGAAUGCUUUGGCUUGCUUCAUAAUUGUUCUAGCAUGUCUAUAUGAAAAUUACAUCCCAAAUUACCAACUUUCAACGACAAACAUUUAUACAAUUUUUGAGAGUCAGCAAUGUGUGAGCAGCUUAGCCGUGUGCUUCUGGCUCAGGGUCAUGUAGGAGGCUGUGAUCAAGGAGUGAGCCAGAGCUGCUAGUCUGAAAGUUUCACUAGACUGGACGAGGUGCUUCCAAAUUCUCCUACCAGGCUGAUGGCAGGAGGCCCCAGUUCCUCACCCUGUGUAUCUCCCCAGAGGGCUGCUCAAGAUAUGGCCCCUGGUUCCUCCCAGGACAAGCCAUCCCAGAGAGAGAAGCCCAGGACAUAAGCUGCCAUGUCUUUGCGGACUAAUUUCAGAAGUUUUAUACCAUGGAUAAAUGAACUAGAAUUAUAUAAAUUCAACAUGGGUAAAUUUCAAAACAAACAAUUGUACAAAUAAAGCAAGUUUUUGAGUACAUACAGCAUUUGUAUUUAUAAAUAUACAGUUUAUGUAUAUAAUAAUAUGAUUGUAUACAAGUUUAUUAACAUAGUGUGUAGAUAUAUCAUAUAUAAAAUGAAGAAAGCCUACUUUAAAGAUUGUGUGUGUGUCUGCUCAUGCAUGUGUGUACAGUAGCCAUAUGACAAAAAUACACAUGGAAAUGACAAAUACUGAACCUGUCAUAGUGAUGACUUCUGUUGGAAGGGGAUAGGAAUGAGACUGGGGAGGUGCCUACAGGGACUUUAAUUGUCAAUAUUUAUGUUUUAAGUUUAAUUAUGACUAUACAAACAAAACAUUUGUUAUAUUAGUCUAUUUGUUUUCUGAAACAGUCCAUAAAAAGUCAAAUCAUGUAGUUACCCCUAGAAAAGAAAAUAAACAAGACUCUGGAGUGACUUCAUUUUACAUAUAUGUAAGAUUUUAUCAUACAAACAUUUAUGGAAAUUUGCACCAAAAAUGACAAAAUGUUAAUAUUUAUUUACAGAUAAAGGGGUCUGGGAUGAUGGUUGCAUUGUUUCUUGUAUUUUUUUUUUAUUCUCUUCAAAAUUAAAGAGAAAAAAAUACAGUCAUCUCCUGUAGGGAAAUAUGCUA
Molecule: non-coding RNA, 4164 nt
Organism: Manis javanica (Malayan pangolin)
Lineage: Eukaryota; Metazoa; Chordata; Mammalia; Pholidota; Manidae
Source: RefSeq, a predicted model, not a curated record